This 253-nucleotide ribosomal RNA is filed under the name uncultured bacterium. RNAcentral's name for it is "partial 16S ribosomal RNA". It matches the Rfam family "Bacterial small subunit ribosomal RNA", at positions 524 to 776 of the family's 1533-position model. The record is from RNAcentral.
UACGUAGGUGGCAAGCGUUGUCCGGAUUUACUGGGCGUAAAGGGCGUGCAGGCGGUUUGUUUAGUCUAGGGUGAAAGCUCCCGGCUUAACUGGGAGAGGUCCUUGGAUACUGGCAAACUUGAGGGAGGCAGAGGAAAGUGGAAUUCCCGGUGUAGUGGUGAUAUGCGUAGAUAUUCGGAGGAACACCAGUGGCGAAGGCGGCUCACUGGCUCGAUACUGACGCUGAGGUGCGAAAGCGUGGGGAGCAAACAGG